AAGCACAAAGGAGAGCCGUGGCUCUCCUCCAAUGUGUUUUACCUGCUCUUUUUAUUGUUAUAGGGCGGCCUGUUAUUGUUGUUGGCGACCUGUCCCUUUACAGCGUUUUUGUGCGACCCCCAAUCAGGGUCAAGAGCAAACGUAUUUUUUUGAGCGCUGAUCCACUUUAAUCAUCUGUCUGCACAACAGCUUGAUCCCACCGGUUCUGGAGCUACCUGACGGUAGUU
This 227-nucleotide small RNA is filed under the name Pseudomonas syringae. RNAcentral describes it as "Pseudomonas sRNA P29". The record is from RNAcentral. Lineage: Bacteria; Pseudomonadati; Pseudomonadota; Gammaproteobacteria; Pseudomonadales; Pseudomonadaceae.